AGAGAGAACUGGGAUAGUCUAAGGCCACAUGGAGAUCUGUCUUGCACUAUGUUGACUUAGUUUAGAGGCCCCGGCUGGAGAGGAGUCAGGCCCUUUUCUUGUGGGGUCAAUUAAGUCCGAUCCUCAAUUACCUCCUUGUUUGUCUCUCAGACCCUUGGCCGCUAUUCAGUCGCCAUAUGUGCCUCGGAGCCAGAAACCACAAAAAAAGGUUUUCGCCUACUGCUGCCCUUUAUCCCUCUGGCUCAACUCUGACGCUGGUGCUCCCACGAGUGGCCCCCUGUGGCAUGGCACGCUGUGUUCUCCCCAGGGAACUCUGAAUUUCUACCUGAUCUUAACUCUGCUUAGCUUUAGGAGACAGGAUGUCUGAGGUCAGAAGUUCCCCCUGGUGACCAAACCAGUUAAGACUGAUGAGAUUCAAGAUCCAGCUCACUUCGCCUUUGAAGAACCUCCAACUUCAUUAUAAUUUAUUUUCCAUACUAAAUGACACUCCCACCAGUGCCAUGACAGUUUAUAAUCACCAUGACAAUGACCAGAAGAAAUUAUGAAAGGACAAAAAGGAAGACCACAACUCCGGUUCUGAGGAAUUCUCCACCCAUUCCCAGAAAAGACAAGAAUACUCCUCCCCUUGUUUUUAAUGCCCAAACCCUUCAUUAAAGAUGUCCCAUAUCUGUGACUUCCUGUCUCUCAUUAAUUGAGAAGUUAAUCUGUGAGUCAAGCUCCCACUUCUUAAGUCCAUGGCCAUUGAAUAAAGCCUGCACUGCUUGAUGCUCACUUUUGGUUUCAUGCAUUGUCUUCUCAUCACUGCAUAGAAAAAGAACCCAUUUUAAAAUCAGUAACACUUUGAUUUCUAACGGAUUAAAUUUGCCAUUUUAUUGUUUUCUGUUUGUUUGAUUUGCAUUUUGUUCUUCUGUUUCAAGUGG
RNAcentral lists this long non-coding RNA (920 nucleotides) under Homo sapiens (human). Its description in RNAcentral is "HSALNT0340731". Lineage: Eukaryota; Metazoa; Chordata; Mammalia; Primates; Hominidae. The record is from RNAcentral.